RNAcentral lists this ribosomal RNA (735 nucleotides) under human gut metagenome. RNAcentral describes it as "bacterial SSU rRNA". It matches the Rfam family "Bacterial small subunit ribosomal RNA", at positions 545 to 1285 of the family's 1533-position model. The record is from RNAcentral.
CCGGAUUUAUUGGGUUUAAAGGGUGCGUAGGCGGCAAGGUAAGUCAGCGGUGAAAGACCAGGGCUCAACUCUGGAAGUGCCGUUGAUACUGUCUGGCUAGAAUGAUUCCGCCGUGGGAGGAAUGAGUAGUGUAGCGGUGAAAUGCAUAGAUAUUACUCAGAACACCGAUUGCGAAGGCAUCUCACGAGGGGUUCAUUGACGCUGAGGCACGAAAGCGUGGGGAUCGAACAGGAUUAGAUACCCUGGUAGUCCACGCAGUAAACGAUGAUGGCUAACUGUCGGGCCUUAUGGGUUCGGCGGCCAAGCGAAAGCGAUAAGCCAUCCACCUGGGGAGUACGACCGCAAGGUUGAAACUCAAAGGAAUUGACGGGGGCCCGCACAAGCGGAGGAACAUGUGGUUUAAUUCGAUGAUACGCGAGGAACCUUACCCAGGCUCGAACGGCAUCUGAAUUGUCCAGAGAUGGACAAGUCUUCGGACAGAUGUCGAGGUGCUGCAUGGUUGUCGUCAGCUCGUGCCGUGAGGUGUCGGCUUAAGUGCCAUAACGAGCGCAACCCUUGCCGUCAGUUGCCAUCAGGUGAAGCUGGGGACUCUGGCGGGACUGCCACCGCAAGGUGUGAGGAAGGGGGGGAUGACGUCAAAUCAGCACGGCCCUUACGUCUGGGGCGACACACGUGUUACAAUGGCGGCUACAGAGGGAAGCCACCCCGCGAGGGGGCGCGGAUCUGAAAAGGCCG